This 520-nucleotide ribosomal RNA is filed under the name uncultured bacterium. Its description in RNAcentral is "bacterial SSU rRNA". It matches the Rfam family "Bacterial small subunit ribosomal RNA", at positions 120 to 674 of the family's 1533-position model. The record is from RNAcentral.
GGGAACGUGCCUUUUGGUUCGGAACAACACAGGGAAACUUGUGCUAAUACCGGAUAAGCCCUUACGGGGAAAGAUUUAUCGCCAAAAGAUCGGCCCGCGUCUGAUUAGCUAGUUGGUAGGGUAACGGCCUACCAAGGCGACGAUCAGUAGCUGGUCUGAGAGGAUGAUCAGCCACAUUGGGACUGAGACACGGCCCAAACUCCUACGGGAGGCAGCAGUGGGGAAUAUUGGACAAUGGGCGCAAGCCUGAUCCAGCCAUGCCGCGUGAGUGAUGAAGGCCCUAGGGUUGUAAAGCUCUUUUGUACGGGAAGAUAAUGACGGUACCGUAAGAAUAAGCCCCGGCUAACUUCGUGCCAGCAGCCGCGGUAAUACGAAGGGGGCUAGCGUUGCUCGGAAUCACUGGGCGUAAAGGGUGCGUAGGCGGGUUUUUAAGUCAGAGGUGAAAUCCUGGAGCUCAACUCCAGAACUGCCUUUGAUACUGGGAAUCUUGAGUAUGGAAGAGGUGAGUGGAACUGCGAGU